Molecule: ribosomal RNA, 651 nt
Filed under: uncultured euryarchaeote
Lineage: Archaea; Methanobacteriati; Methanobacteriota
Description: bacterial SSU rRNA
Rfam family: Archaeal small subunit ribosomal RNA
Source: RNAcentral
UGGAAUGAUCUAUCUCUCAAACUCGCGCUUAAGGAUGGGGCUGCGGCGGAUUAGGUCNUUGGCGGGGUAACAGCCCACCAAGCCAAUGAUCCGUAAGGGCUCUUAGCGGAGAGGCCCUGAGAGGGAAUCUGAGACACUAUUCCCAGCCCUACGGGGUGCAGCAGUUAGGAAUAUUCUGCAAUGCGCGCAAGCGUGACAGAUUGAGUCAGAGUGUUUUUCAUUUGAAAAGCUUUUGCCAAAUGCAAAAAGUUUGGCGAAUAAGGACUGGGUAAGACGGGUGCCAGCCGCCGCGGUAAUACCCGCGGUCCAAGUCGCAGCCAUCAUUAUUGGGUAUAAAACAUCCGUAGCUUGCUUGAUAAGUUUCUUGUGAAAUUCUAUAUCUCAAAUAUGGAGCGCGCAAGAAGUACUGCCAAGCUAGAGACUGGAAGACGUAAGAAGUAUGUUUGGAGUAGCGGUAAAAUGUGUUAAUCCCAGACAGACUAACAACAGCGAAGGCAUCUUACGAGGGACAGUUUUGACNGUAAGGGAUGAAGGCUAGGGNCGCAAAACGGAUUAAAUACCCGUGUAGUCCUAGCAGUAAACACUGCACACUAAACAUUAGUACCUCCUCGAGAGGUGUUAGUGCUGAAGAAAAGUCCAAGAGUGUGCUAC